Salvelinus sp. IW2-2015 is the source of this 399-nucleotide long non-coding RNA. RefSeq lists it as uncharacterized. The record is from RefSeq and is a predicted model, not a curated record. Lineage: Eukaryota; Metazoa; Chordata; Actinopteri; Salmoniformes; Salmonidae.
ACGAAAACGGGAAACAAGGUCGUGAGAAGGAACCGUCACUUCGGUGAAACGACUUUAAUUAAUUACUCGUUAUAUAUUACAUCUAACGGUGUCGGUUCUCACGCUUUAUAACCGUAUUGUCAACUCAGAAGUGUUCCACUUUUCAAGCUAGCAGGUGUUUGGAGACAUGAAUCCAGAAGACGUUGUGAUCAUUCUCAGUGAUGAUGAUGAUGAUGAUGAUGAUGAUGUGUCCAUCAACGACUCGGUCUACAUCGUCGAAGACAUCCAGAACAACGCAGCAGUACAUCAGUCUAACUGCAGCAGGUCACAUGAUCCUGGAGGAGAAGAGGACCUGGUCGUGACCUUCUGUCAGAGAGGAGAGGUGCUGCCUCACGCACGCUAUGACUGUACCUCACACAC